UACGGAAGGCAGCAGUGGGGAAUAUUGCACAAUGGGCGGAAGCCUGAUGCAGCGACGCCGCGUGGGGGAUGACGGCCUUCGGGUUGUAAACUCCUUUCGACAGGGACGAAGCUUUUUGUGACGGUACCUGUAUAAGAAGCACCGGCUAACUACGUGCCAGCAGCCGCGGUAAUACGUAGGGUGCGAGCGUUGUCCGGAAUUACUGGGCGUAAAGAGCUCGUAGGUGGUUUGUCGCGUCGUCUGUGAAAUUCCGGGGCUUAACUCCGGGCGUGCAGGCGAUACGGGCAUAACUUGAGUGCUGUAGGGGAGACUGGAAUUCCUGGUGUAGCGGUGAAAUGCGCAGAUAUCAGGAGGAACACCGAUGGCGAAGGCAGGUCUCUGGGCAGUUACUGACGCUGAGGAGCGAAAGCAUGGGUAGCGAACAGGAUUAGAUACC
Molecule: ribosomal RNA, 436 nt
Filed under: uncultured bacterium
Lineage: Bacteria
Description: bacterial SSU rRNA
Rfam family: Bacterial small subunit ribosomal RNA
Source: RNAcentral